UACGUAUGUCGCGAGCGUUAUCCGGAAUUAUUGGGCAUAAAGGGCAUCUAGGCGGCCGGGUAAGUCCGGGGUGAAAACUGCUGGCUCAACCAGCAGCCUGCCUUGGAAACUACUCGGCUUGAGUGCUGGAGAGGUGGACGGAACUGCACGAGUAGAGGUGAAAUUCGUAGAUAUGUGCAGGAAUGCCGAUGAUGAAGAUAGUUCACUGGACGGCAACUGACGCUGAAGUGCGAAAGCUAGGGGAGCGAACAGG
Molecule: ribosomal RNA, 253 nt
Filed under: uncultured bacterium
Lineage: Bacteria
Description: partial 16S ribosomal RNA
Rfam family: Bacterial small subunit ribosomal RNA
Source: RNAcentral